GACGAACGCUGGCGGCGUGCUUAACACAUGCAAGUCGAACGAUGAACCCGGAGCUUGCUCCGGUGGAUUAGUGGCGAACGGGUGAGUAACACGUGAGUAACCUGCCCUUGACUCUGGGAUAACUGCGGGAAACUGUAGCUAAUACCGGAUACGACCCUCGGCGGCAUCGCCAGGGGGUGGAAAGAAUUUCGGUCAAGGAUGGACUCGCGGCCUAUCAGCUAGUUGGUGAGGUAACGGCUCACCAAGGCGACGACGAGUAGCCGGCCUGAGAGGGGGACCGGGAAAACGGCGACUGAGACACGGCACAGACUACUACGGGAGGCAGCAGUGGGGAAUAUUGCACGAUGGGCGCAAGCCUGAUGCAGCAACGCCGCGUGAGGGAUGACAGCCUUCGGGUUGUAAACCUCUUUUAGUAGGAAAGAAGCGAAAGUGACGGUACCUGCAGAAAAAGCACCGGCUAACUACGUGCCAGCCGCCGCGGUAA
This 484-nucleotide ribosomal RNA is filed under the name uncultured bacterium. RNAcentral describes it as "partial 16S ribosomal RNA". It matches the Rfam family "Bacterial small subunit ribosomal RNA", at positions 28 to 523 of the family's 1533-position model. The record is from RNAcentral.